CUGCAAGACGGAGGUAACAGAUUGCACAAACACAUUGAAACAUUUUCAGCUGUUCACUAACACUGUUACAUUUUCUGGAAUUUUCAAUUGAAUGGGAAAAUACGAGAGACGAAUGCCCAAUUUUUCAAGAAGAAGAAAACGAAAAGCGCAGUUUAUUUUGGUUUUUAAAGAGAGUAAACGAAAAAGAUUAACAACGAGAAAAAGAAAUCAUUUGAAGCGUUUGGAUGCGUAUAACAAAGACGCACCAUUCAAUUAGCCGCAUCACCGGUGACUUGGAGGACGAGCAUUACGUGGAGCUCGCUAUUAGUUUAAGUAAAUAUUUCAUUAUUUUGAUGUUAUCAUUAAAUAAAGGGAAAUAAUAAAAGAA
This is a long non-coding RNA of Bactrocera neohumeralis, 367 nucleotides long. RefSeq lists it as uncharacterized. NCBI's taxonomy places the organism in Eukaryota, Metazoa, Arthropoda, Insecta, Diptera, Tephritidae. The transcript is spliced from 4 exons. The record is from RefSeq and is a predicted model, not a curated record.